RNAcentral lists this long non-coding RNA (299 nucleotides) under Lathyrus oleraceus (garden pea). Its description in RNAcentral is "Pisum sativum (pea) long non-coding RNA (PSAT_LNC012477)". Lineage: Eukaryota; Viridiplantae; Streptophyta; Magnoliopsida; Fabales; Fabaceae. The record is from RNAcentral.
UCUUUCUUUUGAUUUGGAUUUCUUUUGAUUUUGCACCCUCCUCUUUCUUUUUUUCUCUUUUUUUUAAUGCCCCAGUUGGCUGUUCUGCUGAUCCUCGAGAUGCAGCUGAGUGAUCUUCUUUUCUUGCUCAAGAAGUCGGGAAAUCUCGUCAGGAAUCCCUUCAACAUCAUCUUCUUCCGCUUCGAAUACAGGGAAUUCAAAAUUGGGAGAUGACGUCGGAUCAUUAUGUUCAAUGGGUUUAAGAAUCAACCUGCAUAAUGAUUUGAUAUGAAAAGCUUUUUGGAAAUCAAACAAGACAA